Molecule: non-coding RNA, 73 nt
Organism: Podarcis lilfordi (Lilford's wall lizard)
Lineage: Eukaryota; Metazoa; Chordata; Lepidosauria; Squamata; Lacertidae
Source: the annotation of a GenBank genome assembly
GUUCCAGGUUAGCUCAAUCGGUAGACCAUGAGACUCUUAAUCUCAGUCAUGGGUUUGAGCCCCAUAUUGAGCA